This 492-nucleotide ribosomal RNA is filed under the name uncultured bacterium. Its description in RNAcentral is "partial 16S ribosomal RNA". It matches the Rfam family "Bacterial small subunit ribosomal RNA", at positions 29 to 507 of the family's 1533-position model. The record is from RNAcentral.
AGUGAACGCUGGCGGUAGGCCUAACACAUGCAAGUCGAACGGCAGCACAGUAAGAGCUUGCUCUUACGGGUGGCGAGUGGCGGACGGGUGAGGAAUACAUCGGAAUCUACUUUUUCGUGGGGGAUAACGUAGGGAAACUUACGCUAAUACCGCAUACGACCUACGGGUGAAAGCAGGGGAUCUUCGGACCUUGCGCGAUUGAAUGAGCCGAUGUCGGAUUAGCUAGUUGGCGGGGUAAAGGCCCACCAAGGCGACGAUCCGUAGCUGGUCUGAGAGGAUGAUAAGGCACACUGGAACUGAGACACGGUCCAGACUCCUACGGGAGGCAGCAGUGGGGAAUAUUGGACAAUGGGCGCAAGCCUGAUCCAGCCCUACCGCGUGGGUGAAGAAGGCCUUCGGGUUGUAAAGCCCUUUUGUUGGGAAAGAAAAGCAGCAGGUUAAUACCCCGCUGUUCUGACGGUACCCAAAGAAUAAGCACCGGCUAACUUCGUG